CAAGCGCCGCCUCCCUAGCAACGCUGGGCAAGCGCGGGACCCUCUCCUGGCUACGACCUCUAAGAGUACUCGGGCCUCGCUGAUGCCUGACGGAGAGCCCUUGGCUUUUGUUGACUUGUUGACCUUUGCUACUGCGAUCUGGUCUUUCUGCGGGGAUAAAGUUCCUCAUUCUGUUGCUUGUCAUUGGGGUUGCCAUCACUCGUUCAGACGGCCGAUUGGCUGACGGUCCCGUCAAUCUCCGGGGACAUGACUAGCCUCAGACACCUCAGAAAAUUGUUCGUUGGUACCCCUACGUGCUGAAAUGAAGAGUUCUGGAGAGAAUCUGAGGGAUUUGAGGAAUUUCAGAUGUUGGGGAUUUUUUCCCCCGCACAGGGAGCGGUAUUCUGCCCUGUCUACACAUUAGAAUCACUUGGCCUGGACAAAAGCUUUUUUAAAAAAGCGUUCCCCUCAUCUCCUCCCCCCAAACCCCGCAUUUCCAUCCACUAGAUUCUAAUGCGUAAGCAGGAGUGACAACUACUGCCCUUGUGCUUUUUUGGGAACAAGAAAUUGUCCAGGGAAAAGAUAAACGCCAAUCAGUCUCUGAUCUCAGUACUAGUCUAUUUUAAGCUAAUUAAGCAUUGAUUUUUUUUUUUAAGUUUAUGACAAACUGCUAUUUUCCAUUCAGUUAAACUAAAUGCGUUUUAAUGAUAGGACGGUAAUUAAUCUAACCUAUUAAUGAAAAGCUGUAUGUCUCGCAGAACUAUGAUAAACUACCUAAUGACGUCAGCUAAGGGUCUAGAAAUGGAAGAAUGAUCGCUAUAUCUUUUUUAAAAAAUAGAAUUUAGGCAUCUUGGGAAAAAAAGAAGCUAAUCUACACUGGAUUUCUGUUAGUGUGAAGACUUUUGUCCCUGUACCUGCUAGGGCUUACCUGUAAAUGAAGUAAGAUGGUCAACACCAGGGAAACAAGUGUUCCUGGUGCCUGGCAGUGGAACACCUUGACUAUCUUGGAAAGAAUUAACUGGCCCCAAGUGGACUUCACAUUUCAUUCCGUGAAGUGGGAGCCUGAGAACAUAUUUUCUGUGUGAGGCUGAAACUGUUGGAGGCUUCCUGAGAUCAUUCUUGAGAAUGGAGCGACCACAUAGGGGUCUACUCUUCCAUAUUACUGUUACUGUGCAACUAGAAACCCACCUGGCCUUGGAGGAGAAAGAACAGCAUCACUGAAAUGCUUGCAUCAGGCGUUGGGGAUGGGGGUACAGCAUGUAAUUACAAAGGUAAGAUUUGGAAUUUCCAUUUCCAGAAGCAUGGCAUGACCAUCAUUCAGAAAGCAAGCUGAGGACUAAAACUGGAUUUCAGCUGAGGGCAUUUGUCAAACUAGGUAAAGGAGAAUUUAGGUUUUCAUGGCCUUGGUAGGCAAGCAGAACAGGAGACAAAGCCCAGGGACUAUUAUGAUUGGGUGCAUAUUAGAGACCCCUCCCCAUACAAGCAAGGUGGAAACAACUACUUCCAACUGAAAGAAAAUUGCCUGUCUCAAACUUUGGUAUAAAUAUUUUUGCUGACUGGUACAGAAUUCUAGAAGGCACUUAAAAAGAAUUUCCAGAAAUGUGGAAAAAUAAAAGAAGGGCACAAAGAGGCCAUGGGCAGUGCCUAUGAUCUCAUUUUUACUUUUAAAACUUAAAAAAUGCAAUAAAUCUUUUCCUGACCCUGGGUAAUUGUGCUUAUUUAGUACAAAUCUGAGUACAGAUUUUGGGGCAACAGUACCUAAUUAGGCACACCCAGGCACACCCUAACUUACCCUUGGAGCUUACAGGAAUUCCAAGAAAAUCCACAUGGGUAGAGAUUGAGCGUCUUUCCCAAUGGGCAGUCAAGAUGAUGAGAUGGAUCACUAAAUUCUAAAGAAUCCAUGUCAUGCUGUAUACACACAGCAAGGAGGGCCUUAAUAUUAGCAAAACAACAUCAAGUGUCUCACAUUAAAUAAAUGUUGUUAACUUUAAGCUUA
This 1975-nucleotide long non-coding RNA is filed under the name Homo sapiens (human). Its description in RNAcentral is "HSALNT0354093". The record is from RNAcentral. Lineage: Eukaryota; Metazoa; Chordata; Mammalia; Primates; Hominidae.